GUUUUAAUAGUUUAAAAAAAACAAUGAUUUUGUAAAUCAUAAUUAGGAAUAUACCUUUAAAACU
RNAcentral lists this transfer RNA (64 nucleotides) under Appolonius crassus. Its description in RNAcentral is "tRNA-Thr". The record is from RNAcentral. Lineage: Eukaryota; Metazoa; Arthropoda; Insecta; Hemiptera; Rhyparochromidae.